Myotis davidii is the source of this 1634-nucleotide RNA transcript. It is a transcript of the gene named general transcription factor IIF subunit 2, with no coding region annotated. The record is from RefSeq and is a predicted model, not a curated record. The transcript has 9 exons. Lineage: Eukaryota; Metazoa; Chordata; Mammalia; Chiroptera; Vespertilionidae.
CGUACUGACGGUGGAAGUGCGCAAGCGCAGUUCCGGGCUCCCAGCGGCGGGGUCCUCUUUCCCGGGGUUUCCACCUUCCUGGCAGCUGGGCGCCGAGGCGUCGGCUUCUCUCCGCGGUUCGCUUCGUGGUCCGGACACUCGCCCCCAGCACCCAGCCCCUAGCACCCGAGCCCUGCUGUGGGUCGCACUCCUCUUCCGGCAACACACCCAUGGCGGAGCGUGGGGAACUCGACCUGACCGGCGCCAAGCAGAACACCGGAGUGUGGCUGGUCAAGGUUCCUAAAUAUUUGUCACAGCAGUGGGCUAAAGCCCCUGGAAGAGGUGAAGUUGGGAAACUGCGGAUUGCUAAGAAUCAAGGAAGGACUGAGGUGUCAUUUACUUUGAAUGAGGAUCUUGCAAAUAUUCAUGAUAUUGGUGGAAAACCAGCUUCAGUCAGCGCUCCUAGAGAACAUCCAUUUGUCUUGCAAAGUGUUGGAGGACAAACAUUAACAGUAUUUACUGAGAGCUCUUCAGAUAAGCUUUCAUUGGAAGGAAUAGUGGUACAAAGAGCUGAAUGCCGACCUGCUGCAAGUGAAAACUACAUGAGAUUAAAGAGACUGCAAAUAGAAGAAUCUUCUAAACCCGUACGGCUAUCCCAACAACUGGACAAAGUUGUGACAACCAAUUACAAACCUGUUGCCAAUCAUCAAUACAAUAUUGAAUAUGAAAGGAAAAAGAAAGAAGAUGGAAAACGAGCUCGAGCUGAUAAACAGUAUGUUUUAGACAUGCUGUUUUCGGCUUUUGAGAAACAUCAGUAUUAUAAUCUUAAGGACCUGGUGGACAUCACAAAACAGCCUGUGGUGUACCUGAAGGAAAUCUUAAAAGAAAUUGGUAUUCAGAAUGUAAAAGGGAUCCACAAAAACACAUGGGAGCUGAAGCCAGAGUAUAGACAUUAUCAAGGAGAAGAAAAGAGUGAUUAAGAAGACUCCACGCCAGCAUGCUAACAGAACAAAUAAGGGUGAUGUGUUAAGCAUACGGCAUUGAUACUUGAACUUGAGCCCCAUGUGUUGUUAUAGGGGCAAAAUGACUGAAACUUUAAUUUCUGUAGAGAUUCAUCUGAAAGUCUACAGACCUCAGCCUGCAAGCUUAGUGUAUUGCAAUGAAAACAUCUCUGCUUUGUGGAUGUCUCAAGGAGCAUGCAGUUGAAAAUGGAUACCAAGGAAUCGACUGGGAGAAGAAAGAAGAGAAAAACAAGAUUAUUUUAAGUAACUUUUUUUAAGCACUUUUCAUUUGGGCCCAAUUGGUUGAUUUCCUCAGAAAAAAUAAGAGUAUAUCUAUCAAAGCUAGAGCAUCACACGUGCUAGAAAAGACAAGUGAAGAAGCCAGGAAGUUAGAACUGGGGUUCACAUUCGCCAUCGUGUCUAAUACUGACUAUAUUUUUGCCAGGUUUUUUAGUCAGUUGCUAUCACCAGUAAUCUGGGAUGGAGAAACUUGUGGUUUAGGGGAAGUGGCUGAAGAGGGGCUGAUUAGCAGAAAAGGGUAUCAGUACUUGUUGAGAGAUUGGUGAUGAUCUUUAAUGUCCUUCUGGUUUUAAGGUUCUGUCAUUUGCCCUGGCCGGUGUGGCUCAGUUGGUUGAGCAUCAUCCCAUGCACCAA